RNAcentral lists this ribosomal RNA (490 nucleotides) under uncultured bacterium. RNAcentral's name for it is "bacterial SSU rRNA". It matches the Rfam family "Bacterial small subunit ribosomal RNA", at positions 18 to 518 of the family's 1533-position model. The record is from RNAcentral.
CCUGGCUUAGGACGAACGCUGGCGGCGUGUUAACACAUGCAAGUCGAACGAAGCAACUAUCUUGCUUGCAAGAGAGUUGACUUAGUGGCGGACGGGUGAGUAACGCGUGGGUAACCUGCCUCAUACAGGGGGAUAACAGUUGGAAACGACUGCUAAGACCGCAUAACCCGCUAGUGUCGCAUGACACGGACGGAAAAUAUUUAUAGGUAUGAGAUGGGCCCGCGUCUGAUUAGCUAGUUGGUAAGGUAACGGCUUACCAAGGCGACGAUCAGUAGCCGACUUGAGAGAGUGAUCGGCCACAUUGGGACUGAGACACGGCCCAAACUCCUACGGGAGGCAGCAGUGGGGAAUAUUGGACAAUGGGGGAAACCCUGAUCCAGCCGACGCCGCGUGAGUGAAGAAGUAUUUCGGUAUGUAAAGCUCUAUCAGCAGGGAAGAUAAUGACAGUACCUGACUAAGAAGCCCCGGCUAACUACGUGCCAGCAGCUGC